RNAcentral lists this transfer RNA (89 nucleotides) under Candidatus Woesearchaeota archaeon. Its description in RNAcentral is "tRNA-Leu". It matches the Rfam family "tRNA". From Rfam's summary of the family: Transfer RNA (tRNA) molecules are approximately 80 nucleotides in length. Their secondary structure includes four short double-helical elements and three loops (D, anti-codon, and T loops). Further hydrogen bonds mediate the characteristic L-shaped molecular structure. tRNAs have two regions of fundamental functional importance: the anti-codon, which is responsible for specific mRNA codon recognition, and the 3' end, to which the tRNAs corresponding amino acid is attached (by aminoacyl-tRNA synthetases). tRNAs cope with the degeneracy of the genetic code in two manners: having more than one tRNA (with a specific anti-codon) for a particular amino acid; and 'wobble' base-pairing, i.e. permitting non-standard base-pairing at the 3rd anti-codon position. The record is from RNAcentral. Lineage: Archaea; Nanobdellati; Candidatus Woesearchaeota.
GCGGGGAUAGCAAAGUUUGGUCAAAUGCGCAGGACUUAAGAUCCUGUCUCUUAGUGGGUUCGAGGGUUCAAAUCCCUUUCCCCGCACCA